CACGUAGGGUGCGAGCGUUGUCCGGAAUUAUUGGGCGUAAAGAGCUCGUAGGCGGUGUGUCGCGUCGGCCGUGAAAACCUGCAGCUUAACUGUGGGCUUGCGGUCGAUACGGGCAGGCUUGAGUUCGGUAGGGGAGACUGGAAUUCCUGGUGUAGCGGUGAAAUGCGCAGAUAUCAGGAGGAACACCGGUGGCGAAGGCGGGUCUCUGGGCCGAUACUGACGCUGAGGAGCGAAAGCGUGGGGAGCGAACAGG
This 253-nucleotide ribosomal RNA is filed under the name uncultured bacterium. RNAcentral describes it as "partial 16S ribosomal RNA". It matches the Rfam family "Bacterial small subunit ribosomal RNA", at positions 524 to 776 of the family's 1533-position model. The record is from RNAcentral.